GAUUUUGUAUCGUACAAUCUAUCGAAAAAAAACACAAAGGUGCACGAAGUGGAUCUGCACAGAAAGAAAACAUUGAUUUUGAGCAAACUCCAACAAAAGCCACAAAGCAAAAGAUAGUACUUUGCCUCUUUCUGACAAAUCACACAUGAAUUCACCUGGGUAUUCUCUCAAACAAAAUUUUGCGACAGCAUGAGCGUUAACGAAUUAAAAUACACCGUACUACAACAUAAUUAACAAGGAGCCGAUGAAUACGAAGUUGUCUGGGGUCGCAAUGCUCCAAAAAAAGCUUUACACUACGUGUUCAGUCUAAGUGUUCUAGGGUUAGUGGUAUAAUUAUGUAUGCAUGUUGGUAUGUACUAUAUACAUACAGACAGUCAAGGCAAAAAGUCAUCAUAUACCACCCAUAUUUCGAUAUUUCGGAUUUUCUCAACGAAAAUUUAAAAGUGGGACACGCACACUGUUCUAGCUAACCCUUUCCUCUUUCCAAGAAAACGGUGUUUCCGGAAGACCUGGUCAAAAACUGAUGUGUUGGUCUUUCAACUUCCGUCAUUAAAAUAUCCAGAUGACACGCAGCAGUACUUCAUCAAAGCAACUCUGGAUGUCAACACAGCUCGCUGGGGUAUGAUACUUGAGGAUUUGUCUCUGUAUAAUAUCCAUAAAUAAAUAAUAAAUACCUAAAACAAAUAGUAAAGAGCUACUUAAGAGCUGCCAGGAUAUUCGCAUUGACUUUGUUUUAAAUAUACAAUUUUCCGCGGAAUACAAAUAUCGGAACUCGACACUUAUGCCUUGUUCCGUUCGCCUUCAUAUGACCACUAACCAGAGAGCACAUAGACUCAACAUGUA
This 843-nucleotide small RNA is filed under the name Drosophila mojavensis. RNAcentral describes it as "GI25528". Lineage: Eukaryota; Metazoa; Arthropoda; Insecta; Diptera; Drosophilidae. The record is from RNAcentral.